CCUACGGGGGGCAGCAGUGGGGAAUAUUGGACAAUGGGGGCAACCCUGAUCCAGCCAUGCCGCGUGUGUGAAGAAGGCCCUCGGGUUGUAAGCACUUUCAGUGAGGAAGAACGCCUGGUGGUUAAUACCCAUCAGGAAAGACAUCACUCACAGAAGAAGCACCGGCUAACUCCGUGCCAUCAGCCGCGGUAAUACGGAGGGUGCGAGCGUUAAUCGGAAUUACUGGGCGUAAAGCGCGCGUAGGUGGCUUGAUAAGCCGGUUGUGAAAGCCCCGGGCUCAACCUGGGAACGGCAUCCGGAACUGUCAAGCUAGAGUGCAGGAGAGGAAGGUAGAAUUCCCGGUGUAGCGGUGAAAUGCGUAGAGAUCGGGAGGAAUACCAGUGGCGAAGGCGGCCUUCUGGACUGACACUGACACUGAGGUGCGAAAGCGUGGGUAGCAAACAGGAUUAGAUACCCCGGUAGUC
RNAcentral lists this ribosomal RNA (464 nucleotides) under Vreelandella stevensii. RNAcentral describes it as "partial 16S ribosomal RNA". It matches the Rfam family "Bacterial small subunit ribosomal RNA", at positions 338 to 795 of the family's 1533-position model. Lineage: Bacteria; Pseudomonadati; Pseudomonadota; Gammaproteobacteria; Oceanospirillales; Halomonadaceae. The record is from RNAcentral.